AAGAAAGUGACUGCUGCCCCGCACAGGGGCGAAGCCAAUAGACCAAUAGCAAUGCAAGCUUCAUAGGAGCGCAAGCGCAUCAGACCGUUCAAAAAACACCAGCCCCAA
Molecule: small RNA, 108 nt
Filed under: Caballeronia glathei
Lineage: Bacteria; Pseudomonadati; Pseudomonadota; Betaproteobacteria; Burkholderiales; Burkholderiaceae
Description: Burkholderia glathei Burkholderia sRNA Bp1_Cand684_SIPHT
Rfam family: Burkholderia sRNA Bp1_Cand684_SIPHT
Source: Rfam by way of RNAcentral